RNAcentral lists this long non-coding RNA (483 nucleotides) under Elaeis guineensis (African oil palm). RNAcentral's name for it is "long non-coding RNA (EGUI_LNC051158)". Lineage: Eukaryota; Viridiplantae; Streptophyta; Magnoliopsida; Arecales; Arecaceae. The record is from RNAcentral.
CCGUUGGUAAUGCUGUCUCUAAUAGAUAUAUUAGCGACGAUAAAAAUACCGUCACUAAUGGCCAUCGCUAAUAGGUUAAUUUCUCAUAGUAAUGCUAGACUCUAGCAAUAGGACCCCAUUUAUAGGAAAGCUGGACCUGAAUGUCUCCAACCAUCCCCUCUGACUAUGCGAUAGGUGUCACCAUAUGGGAGACCUCAGAAACCAUGCCUCCUGAAAGUUAGAGUUCCAAUAAUCCUUCCCAAUAGGCUAUUAUUAUCAGGAAGUACCAACAUUAAAUGCCAUGCUCCCCUAGGCUCCUAGAUAGUGCAACCACAACAAUCGGAUCGGAGUAGAUUGAUUCCUCAGAGAUAUUUUAGCUCCAACCAAGACCUCUAAAAUUAUGUUUGGCACAACACCGAUGAUGGUGAUUAUGGGAUAUUUAGAUGCCAAAUUGAAUCCCGAUGACUAGAUCGGAGGAUCCAUCCCUCGGAGAUACUUUGGCUC